RNAcentral lists this ribosomal RNA (253 nucleotides) under uncultured bacterium. RNAcentral's name for it is "partial 16S ribosomal RNA". It matches the Rfam family "Bacterial small subunit ribosomal RNA", at positions 524 to 776 of the family's 1533-position model. The record is from RNAcentral.
UACGUAGGGGGCAAGCGUUGUCCGGAUUUAUUGGGCGUAAAGAGCGUGUAGGCGGCUAGGUAGGUCCGUUGUGAAAACUCGAGGCUCAACCUCGAGACGUCGAUGGAAACCAUCUAGCUAGAGUCCGGAAGAGGAGAGUGGAAUUCCUGGUGUAGCGGUGAAAUGCGCAGAUAUCAGGAAGAACACCCGUGGCGAAGGCGCACAUCUGGCCCGAUACUGACGCUGAGGCGCGAAAGCUAGGGGAGCAAACGGG